This 492-nucleotide ribosomal RNA is filed under the name uncultured bacterium. RNAcentral's name for it is "partial 16S ribosomal RNA". It matches the Rfam family "Bacterial small subunit ribosomal RNA", at positions 29 to 507 of the family's 1533-position model. The record is from RNAcentral.
AGUGAACGCUGGCGGUAGGCCUAACACAUGCAAGUCGAACGGCAGCACAGUAAGAGCUUGCUCUUACGGGUGGCGAGUGGCGGACGGGUGAGGAAUACAUCGGAAUCUACUUUUUCGUGGGGGAUAACGUAGGGAAACUUACGCUAACACCGCAUACGACCUACGGGUGAAAGCAGGGGAUCUUCGGACCUUGCGCGAUUGGAUGAGCCGAUGUCGGAUUAGCUAGUUGGCGGGGUAAAGGCCCACCAAGGCGACGAUCCGUAGCUGGUCUGAGAGGAUGAUCAGCCACACUGGAACUGAGACACGGUCCAGACUCCUCCGGGAGGCAGCAGUGGGGAAUAUUGGACAAUGGGCGCAAGCCUGAUCCAGCCAUACCGCGUGGGUGAAGAAGGCCUUCGGGUUGUAAAGCCCUUUUGUUGGGAAAGAAAAGCAGCAGGUUAAUACCCCGCUGUUCUGACGGUACCCAAAGAAUAAGCACCGGCUAACUUCGUG